GGUUAAGUGACUAAGCGUACACGGUGGAUGCCUAGGCAGUCAGAGGCGAUGAAGGGCGUGCUAAUCUGCGAAAAGCGUCGGUAAGGUGAUAUGAACCGUUACAACCGGCGAUACCCGAAUGGGGAAACCCAGUGUGUUUCGACACACUAUCAUGUCAUGAAUACAUAGUGGCAUGAGGCGAACCGGGGGAACUGAAACAUCUAAGUACCCCGAGGAAAAGAAAUCAACCGAGAUUCCCCCAGUAGCGGCGAGCGAACGGGGAGGAGCCCAGAACCUGAAUCGGCUUGUGUGUUAGUGGAAGCGUCUGGAAAGUCGCGCAGCAAAGGGUGAUAGCCCCGUACACUAAAAUGCACAGGUCGUGAGUUCGAUGAGUAGGGCGGGACACGUGACAUCCUGUCUGAAUAUGGGGGGACCAUCCUCCAAGGCUAAAUACUCCUGACUGACCGAUAGUGAACCAGUACCGUGAGGGAAAGGCGAAAAGAACCCCGGCGAGGGGAGUGAAAUAGAACCUGAAACCGUGUACGUACAAGCAGUGGGAGCACCUUCGUGGUGUGACUGCGUACCUUUUGUAUAAUGGGUCAGCGACUUAUAUUUUGUAGCAAGGUUAACCGUAUAGGGGAGCCGUAGGGAAACCGAGUCUUAACUGGGCGAAUAGUUGCAAGGUAUAGACCCGAAACCCGGUGAUCUAGCCAUGGGCAGGUUGAAGGUUGGGUAACACUAACUGGAGGACCGAACCGACUAAUGUUGAAAAAUUAGCGGAUGACUUGUGGCUGGGGGUGAAAGGCCAAUCAAACCGGGAGAUAGCUGGUUCUCCCCGAAAGCUAUUUAGGUAGCGCCUCGUGAACUCAUCUUCGGGGGUAGAGCACUGUUUCGGCUAGGGGGCCAUCCCGGCUUACCAAACCGAUGCAAACUCCGAAUACCGAAGAAUGUUAUCACGGGAGACACACGGCGGGUGCUAACGUCCGUCGUGAAGAGGGAAACAACCCAGACCGCCAGCUAAGGUCCCAAAGUCAUGGUUAAGUGGGAAACGAUGUGGGAAGGCACAGACAGCCAGGAUGUUGGCUUAGAAGCAGCCAUCAUUUAAAGAAAGCGUAAUAGCUCACUGGUCGAGUCGGCCUGCGCGGAAGAUGUAACGGGGCUAAACCAUGCACCGAAGCUGCGGCAGCGACGCUUAGGCGUUGUUGGGUAGGGGAGCGUUCUGUAAGCCGUUGAAGGUGGCCUGUGAGGGUUGCUGGAGGUAUCAGAAGUGCGAAUGCUGACAUAAGUAACGAUAAAGCGGGUGAAAAGCCCGCUCGCCGGAAGACCAAGGGUUCCUGUCCAACGUUAAUCGGGGCAGGGUGAGUCGACCCCUAAGGCGAGGCUGAAAAGCGUAGUCGAUGGGAAACAGGUUAAUAUUCCUGUACUUGGUGUUACUGCGAAGGGGGGACGGAGAAGGCUAGGCUAGCCGGGCGACGGUUGUCCCGGUUUAAGCGUGUAGGGGGUGUGACCUGGUAAAUCCGGUUGCAUACUAACCCUGAGGCGUGAUGACGAUGCACUACGGUGCAGAAGUAGUUGAUGCCCUGCUUCCAGGAAAAUCCUCUAAGCUCCAGGUAACAUUNNNNNNNNNNNNNNNNNNNNNNNNNNNNNNNNNNNNNNNNNNNNNNNNNNNNNNNNNNNNNNNNNNNNNNNNNNNNNNNNNNNNNNNNNNNNNNNGAAGCCAGUCGAAGAUACCAGCUGGCUGCAACUGUUUAAUAAAAACACAGCACUGUGCAAACACGAAAGUGGACGUAUACGGUGUGACGCCUGCCCGGUGCUGGAAGGUUAAUUGAUGGGGUCAGCCGCAAGGCGAAGCUCUUGAUCGAAGCCCCAGUAAACGGCGGCCGUAACUAUAACGGUCCUAAGGUAGCGAAAUUCCUUGUCGGGUAAGUUCCGACCUGCACGAAUGGCGUAAUGAUGGCCAGGCUGUCUCCACCCGAGACUCAGUGAAAUUGAACUCGCUGUGAAGAUGCAGUGUACCCGCGGCAAGACGGAAAGACCCCGUGAACCUUUACUAUAGCUUGACACUGAACAUUGAGCCUUGAUGUGUAGGAUAGGUGGGAGGCUUUGAAGCGUGGACGCCAGUCUGCGUGGAGCCAUCCUUGAAAUACCACCCUUUAAUGUUUGAUGUUCUAACUCUGCCCCAUAAUCUGGGGUGAGGACAGUGUCUGGUGGGUAGUUUGACUGGGGCGGUCUCCUCCCAAAGAGUAACGGAGGAGCACGAAGGUUAGCUAAUCACGGUCGGACAUCGUGAGGUUAGUGCAAAGGCAUAAGCUAGCUUGACUGCGAGAGUGACGGCUCGAGCAGGUACGAAAGUAGGUCUUAGUGAUCCGGUGGUUCUGAAUGGAAGGGCCAUCGCUCAACGGAUAAAAGGUACUCCGGGGAUAACAGGCUGAUACCGCCCAAGAGUUCAUAUCGACGGCGGUGUUUGGCACCUCGAUGUCGGCUCAUCACAUCCUGGGGCUGAAGUAGGUCCCAAGGGUAUGGCUGUUCGCCAUUUAAAGUGGUACGCGAGCUGGGUUUAGAACGUCGUGAGACAGUUCGGUCCCUAUCUGCCGUGGGCGUUGGAAGAUUGAGAGGGGUUGCUCCUAGUACGAGAGGACCGGAGUGAACGCACCACUGGUGUUCGGGUUGUCAUGCCAAUGGCAUUGCCCGGUAGCUAAGUGCGGAAAAGAUAAGCGCUGAAAGCAUCUAAGCGCGAAACUUGCCUCAAGAUGAGUCUUCCCUGGGCCUUUAAGGCCCCUGAAGGAACGUUUAAGACUAAGACGUUGAUAGGCUGGGUGUGUAAGUGCAGCGAUGCAUUGAGCUAACCAGUACUAAUGAUCCGUGAGGCUUAACCUU
RNAcentral lists this ribosomal RNA (2856 nucleotides) under Serratia marcescens. Its description in RNAcentral is "23S ribosomal RNA". It matches the Rfam family "Bacterial large subunit ribosomal RNA". Lineage: Bacteria; Pseudomonadati; Pseudomonadota; Gammaproteobacteria; Enterobacterales; Yersiniaceae. The record is from RNAcentral.